RNAcentral lists this ribosomal RNA (388 nucleotides) under uncultured eukaryote. RNAcentral describes it as "partial 18S ribosomal RNA". It matches the Rfam family "Eukaryotic small subunit ribosomal RNA", at positions 592 to 976 of the family's 1831-position model. The record is from RNAcentral.
CAGUAGCGUAUAUUAAAGUUGUUGCAGUUAAAAAGCUCGUAGUUGGAUGUCUGGCGCGAGGCGUCUGGCCCGCCGACGUUAGUCGUGUGAGUGCCGGCUCGCCUCCGCCAUCCUUCUGGAAAACGGGUCUACCCUUUACUGGGCCGGGCUCGCGAUCCAGAUCCUUUACUUUGAAAAAAUUAGAGUGUUCAAAGCAGGCUUGCGCUAUGAAUACAUUAGCAUGGAAUAAUAAUAUAGGACUUGGGUUCUAUUUUGUUGGUUUCUAGGACUUAAGUAAUGAUUGAUAGGGAUAGUUGGGGGUGCUAGUAUUCAGCGGCCAGAGGUGAAAUUCUUGGAUUCGCUGAAGACUAACUUAUGCGAAAGCAUUCACCAAGGAUGUCUUCUUUAA